RNAcentral lists this ribosomal RNA (229 nucleotides) under uncultured bacterium. Its description in RNAcentral is "partial 16S ribosomal RNA". It matches the Rfam family "Bacterial small subunit ribosomal RNA", at positions 568 to 796 of the family's 1533-position model. The record is from RNAcentral.
UGCGUAGGCGGGGCAAUUAGUCAGUGGUGAAAUCCUGCGGCUUAACCGUAGAAUUGCCAUUGAUACUGUCGUCCUUGAGUAUAGUUGAAGUGGGCGGAAUAUGUAAUGUAGCGGUGAAAUGCAUAGAGAUUACAUAGAACACCAAUUGCGAAGGCAGCUCACUAAGCUAUCACUGACGCUGAGGCACGAAAGCGUGGGGAGCGAACAGGAUUAGAUACCCUGGUAGUCC